UACAAAAAAAGUGAGCAUUGAUAGCAGUUCACAAUAGCACGGUUUCACUAAUUGCUAUGAAUGAUUGAUUUGAGAUUUUGAUUUUGAAUAAUUUCUAUCAAUAGCAUUUAAUAAACGCUAUAAUAGAAAAUCAAUAAGCGAGAAGUUAAAAUCACGUAUUCCGUCAAUACUUAGCCAAAAAAUUUAGAUAGCCGCGAACACUUUAGCUUUUCUUCUUUUCUCAAAGACCUAAACAAAUUAUCUCAGAGACUAGAAAAAAAAAAAACUCUUAGGCUCACUAACAAAUCUCGUCGCUUCCACCGUUGAAGCUAGUUGCAGCCUCUUCCUCUAUCCUCGCCGUCACCGCCACUGUGGCUGACCGUCUCUCCCCACCCUCCUCCUCCAGUUCCCUUUCUCUCGAAUCAACUCAGCCAAACCCUGACUCCCCUCCAAUGGCUUCCGCCGCUGCCGCCACCACCAAAUUAAACAGACGCAACCGAAACCCCACAUCUCCUCCUAUCAAUCCCGAUCUAUUUCUCACGAUGAAGUUUCAAUCUACCGUGGAGGAGAAUCGCUUUGGGAACAGAGAAGAUGAAUUCAAGUAGAGAAAGGGAUGAUUCGAAGAGUUUUAGAUCGGGAAGUAGAGAGAGAGAGGACAUGGUAAUGGUGGUGAUGGACGGAUUAAUAUACUUCGAUAAGUAGAGAUUCAGUGACUCUUCUUCUUCUCCUUCUUCAUCCUCGCAAAAUGUGUUGCAGCUGGAGCUUGUACGAUUUGAGAGAGACUUGUUGAAUAUCUCGAGUGGUGGAACCGUAAAAAAAUGUAAAUGAACAAUAGGAAGCAAGCUGCGAAAGAGAAUGCUCGUAAUGAAAAUAAGAAAGUCGUGUCUUCACCUACACAGCUACACCUGUUGAAAAGCCUGAAGCUCCUGAGACAUGCACUAGUAGUCCAACAUGAGAUUAGUCGGAGAGAAGUGAAUCAAAAGAUUCUGAUGAUUUAAUGUGAUUUUAUUAUUUAAAGGAGAGGAUUUUGGAAGGUACUUUCUUGUUACUGCUAGCCUUUUGUGUUUGAUUUCUUAUUUUGCAGCUUGUAUAAGGGUCUUGCUCCACGUUGGCUGUGAAGUUGAUGAUCUUCAGAACAAGGAAGGAUAAUUCAGAUAGAUGAGCAGAAUAUACAAGAACAGGUAGUGGAAAUCAAUUCUUCUUCAUCUUUAGGAGCUGUUAAGAAAGGGGUGGGACAUGUUGAGGACGAAUGCUCACGAAAGAGCAUUGAUUUUAAGAUAAAAACUAUUGAGGAAACAAGAUUGAAGACUGUGAUAUAUGUUGAUGCUUUUGUACACAUGCUUACAGAGAUUAUGGACGGGGAUGAUAUGGGAAGGCGAAACAUAUAAAUGAGAUUGAAGUUUAUCUUUAUGAUGUUAGCUUUAUUUUGUUUAAAACUUUGUAUGAUGUUAUGUAAAAAAUUGUUAAUGUAGUAAUACUUUUAU
This is a long non-coding RNA of Arabidopsis lyrata subsp. lyrata, 1463 nucleotides long. RefSeq lists it as uncharacterized. The record is from RefSeq and is a predicted model, not a curated record. NCBI's taxonomy places the organism in Eukaryota, Viridiplantae, Streptophyta, Magnoliopsida, Brassicales, Brassicaceae. The transcript is spliced from 6 exons.